Molecule: long non-coding RNA, 200 nt
Filed under: Carica papaya (papaya)
Lineage: Eukaryota; Viridiplantae; Streptophyta; Magnoliopsida; Brassicales; Caricaceae
Description: long non-coding RNA (CPAP_LNC012131)
Source: RNAcentral
GCCCUCGAUUGGCCCAAAAAAUAUGAAAAACCGAAACUUACCAGCGGAGGGGCUCUCUGGUGCGGCGACUCCUCCAGCUCACAUCGCAGUUGGGUGUUUUGCUCCGGUCAACCUAUAGAGGAGGAAAUGGUGAUCUCAACGGUGAAAAAAUCACAUCGAACGGGAAUCGAAAAGGGCCUCAUCAGAGGUAAAAAUCGAGA